This 253-nucleotide ribosomal RNA is filed under the name uncultured bacterium. RNAcentral's name for it is "partial 16S ribosomal RNA". It matches the Rfam family "Bacterial small subunit ribosomal RNA", at positions 524 to 776 of the family's 1533-position model. The record is from RNAcentral.
UACGAGGGGGGCAAGUGUUGUUCGGAAUCACUGGGCGUAAAGGGAGCGUAGGCGGAAGCUUAAGUCGGGAGUUUAAACCCGGGGCCCAACCCCGGAGCGGCUCCCGAAACUGGGUUUCUUGAAUGGGACAGAGGCUGGUGGAAUUGGGGGUGUAGCGGUGGAAUGCGUAGAGAUCGGGAAGAACAUCAGUGGCGAAGGCGGUCUGCUGGGCCGUUGCUGACGCUGAGGCGCGACAGCGUGGGGAGCAAACAGG